Gossypium arboreum is the source of this 5285-nucleotide RNA transcript. It is a transcript of the gene named disease resistance protein RPV1-like, with no coding region annotated. The record is from RefSeq and is a predicted model, not a curated record. NCBI's taxonomy places the organism in Eukaryota, Viridiplantae, Streptophyta, Magnoliopsida, Malvales, Malvaceae. The transcript is spliced from 4 exons.
UGAGUUUGAAAAUUGUUUGGAUCCAAUUGUCUUUACUUGACACUUUCCACACCGAAAAGCAAAAAUGUGUUUGAACCAAAAAAAUUAAGGAAAGGAAAAAGAAAAAGGUGAUUAAGGGGCGGGCUUCUUCACUUUGCUUUUCUAAUUAAAGUAGCCUCCACUCUGUGGACGAAGCAACCAAUUCUGCCCUCACCGUCAACGAUUCUUCCUGGAAAGCACCAUCAUUUUCAUUUGUCACCAAACUUCCAUCACUACACCUUUUCAUAGCUAUUAUGAUGGAGAUUCGUUUUGAAGAAAAAAAAGGUAGGACAUGUAUAGAGAAAUUGCUUAGAAACCUGUGUCCGCUUUCCCUUUCUUGAUGCUCCUAUACUUGAUCUGUUUGUAGUUUCUUUCUGCAUAUUGAGCCACCUUAUUUUCUGGUUUUCCCAAACUAGAUUGUCUUAUCUUUUUCCUUCUCAGACUUCCUCAUGUCCUCGUUGCUGUCAACUUCCUCGUCUAUUCCUAGACAAAAAGAAUAUGACGUAUUCUUGAGUUUUAGAGGUGAAGAUACUCGUCAUAACUUCACAGACCAUCUCUGUGAUGCUUUGAGAAGGAGCGGAAUAGUCACUUUCAGGGAUGAUCCAAAGCUGGAGGCCGGCGAAGAGAUCGCUCCUGAGCUCUUCAAAGCAAUUCAACAAUCAUGGUGCUCACUAAUCGUUUUCUCGGAAAACUAUGCCUUUUCAGGUUGGUGCUUGGAGGAACUUGCAGAGAUUGUUAAACAAAAAAGGGAGAAUGGACAUAAAGUAUUUCCAAUUUUCCAUGGUGUGGAUCCAUCUGAUUUAAGAAAACAAAAAGAGAAAGUUGAAGCAGCUUUUGCCAAACAUGAAGAGAGAUACAAGGAAGAUGAAGCAAAGAUCCAAAGGUGGAGAAAUGCUUUAACUGAAGUGGCUAAUAUCAAGGGAUAGCACUCAAAUAAUAGGCAUGAAUCAGAAUUUAUUGGAGACAUUGUUAAAAAAAUAUCAGCAAAGUUAUGUCAAACAUAUCCAAUUGUCCAUGAUGAUAAGUUAGUUGGAAUUAGUCCAAGCUUGGACGAUUUGCAUUUGGAAAUAGAAAUUGGGGAAGAUGAUAUCCGUAUCAUAGGAAUUUGUGGUAUGGGUGGCAUUGGCAAAACGACUCUUGCGAGAGUUGUUUAUUAUCAAAUGUCACAUCAUUUCGAAGGUAAAAGCUUUCUUGCUGACGUUCGAGAAGUUUCAGAGAAAUGUGGACUUGUUUCUUUACAGAAACAACUACUUUCCCAAAUAUUGUUUGAUGAAAGCUUCAAUUUUUUCAAUGUUCAUGAAGGGAAAGUCAUAAUUAGCCGCAGGUUCUCUCACAAAAGAGUUCUUGUUGUUCUUGAUGAUGUUGAUAACCUACAGCACUUGAAAUGCUCGGUUGGAAGGCGUGAUUGGUUCGGUGUAGGGAGUAGAAUCAUUGUAACAACAAGAGAUGAACAUUUGCUCCGAUCUUAUCGAGUUGAUGGUGUGUAUAAGCCUACAGCAUUGAAAGCCAAUGAUGCACUUCAUCUUUUCAAUUUGAAAGCUUUCGGUUGCAAGACAGCGCCAAAAGAGGAUUUCAUUGAGCUUGCUAAACAUAUCGUAGGUUAUGCUGGUGGACUCCCAUUAGCUCUUGAAGUUUUGGGUUCUUUUCUGUGUGAUAGAGAUGCAAGGCAAUGGAAAAGUACAAUAGAAAGACUUGAAAGAGAUUCUAACAAAGAAAUUCUUGACAGACUCCAAAUAAGUUUUGAUGGACUGGAAGAAAGGGAGAAGAAUAUAUUUCUAGAUAUAGCAUGCUUCUUUAAUGGGGAGGAGAAAGAUUUUGUAAUGAAAGUACUGGAUGGUUGUGAGUUUUGUCCAGAUAUUGGAAUCGAUGUUCUCAUAAAAAAAUCUCUACUAACUGUUAAUAAAUGCAAUCGAUUGCAAAUGCAUGACUUGCUACAAGAAAUGGGAAGAAAAAUUGUUAGAGAAAAAUCUGUUGAUGAACCUGGAAAACGUUGCAGAUUGUGGGCGGAAAGAGAUGUCUAUCAUGUGCUAACAACAAAAACUGCUACAAAAACGAUUGAAGGCAUAAUCAUCGACAAUAAAAGGUACAUGAGAAAACAUACACAUAUGUAUCUAUGUAAAAUGUUGAUGUUGUUGUUGUUGUUUUUUCUUGUGAAAAUAAUAAAAUCUUCAAUGCUUAACAUUUCAAAAAAAAAAAAAUAGUGGCAUGUGUUAUGAAAAAUAAUAUAGUAGUUAAAGAGUAUGUUUAAUGUAAUUGUGAAAGUUCGUUAUAUAUAUUUUGGUGUAAUCGCAAUGUCAUUGCAUUAGCAUGUAUUUAUUUUCUUGCAUUUUCUCUUUAGUCAAACACUUUAUUUGUCUGUAUAUCAUGGUUUCUAGCAGUGUGAGUUUGUGAAUAUCAACUCCAAUAUUUCAACUACGUUAUUCAAAUUUGGAUGUAGGUGUCAUAUAUACAUGUGUUUGGUAUGAGAAUAUUCAUUUUCUUUUACAUUUUCAUUGUUUUUGAGAUUCCUUGAAGGCUCUCUCAUGUAUAUGUAUAAUCAUAUUCUUAUUCUACCUUGGGAAAUCAGUGAGACUCUCACUUUGAGUGCUGAUGUCUUCUUGAAGAUGAAAAGAUUAAGACUACUCAAAAUCCUUUGCCGGACAAAUUGUUAUGAUCUGACGUAUCUUUCUAACGAGUUACGACUUUUAGUUUGGACGGGAUGUCCUUUAAGGUCAUUACUUUCAAGUUUGAAACCAGAAAACCUUGUUAUACUUCUCCUACCUUAUAGCAACAUUGAACAACUAUGGAAUGUAAACAUGCCCCUGUAUAAGUUGAAAGUGCUCAACCUAAAAGGGUCUGAAAAACUGAUCAAGGCACCAGACUUCACAACUGCCCCAAAUCUUGAAAUUUUGGUUUUGGAAGGAUGUACUAGAUUAGUAUAUGUUCAUCCAUCUGUUGGAGUUCUUACGAGGCUUAAGCUUUUGAAUUUAAGAGGCUGCAAAAGUCUGAGGAGUUUUCCAACCAAAAUUAGAAUGGAAUCUCUUGAAAUGUUAAGUCUUUCAGGUUGCUCAAAACUUCAAAGCUUUCCAGAGAUUGAUGGGAAAAUGGAAUGUUUGUUGGAGCUUUGUUUUGAUGGGACAAACAUUAAAGAGCUACCUUCUUCAAUCAGAAAUCUCAGAAGACUUGAAGUUUUGAAUUUAAAAGACUGUAAAAGUCUUAGGAGUCUUCCAACCAAAUUUGGAAUGGAAUCUCUUGAAAAGUUAAUUCUUUCAGGUUGCUCAAAUCUUCAAAGCUUGCCAGAGAUUGAUGGGAAAAUGGAAUGUUUAUUGGAGCUUUGUUUUGAUGGGACAAACAUUAAAGAGCUACCUUCUUCAAUCGGAAAUCUUAGAAGACUUAAAGUUUUGAAUCUAAAAGACUGCAAAAGUCUUAGGAGUCUUCCAAUCAAAAUUGGAAUGGAAUCUCUUAAAAAGUUAAUUCUUUCAGGUUGCUCCAAUCUUAAAAGGUUUCCAGAGAUUGAUGGCAAAAUGGAAUGCCUGCUAGAGCUCUAUUUAGAUGGGUCGGGCAUUAAAGAGCUACCUAUUUCAAUUGGAAAUCUGAGCAGUCUUGUUUUGUUAAAUUUGAAAGAUUGCAGGAACCUUGUGGAUCUCCCAGGGAGCAUAGGUGGGUGUAAAAGUUUAAAAUCUCUUAAUCUUUCUGGCUGUUAUAAAGUCGAAUAUUUGCCAGAGAAUUUGCAGCAAAUAGAAUUCUUGGAGGAGCUUGACUUAAGUGAAACAUCCAUGACAAAACCACCAUCCUUGAUUUUUCAAUUUAAAAAUCUUAAAGUUCUGUCUUUUAAUGGGAGCAAGGGAUCUUCUUCCAAGUUACAAAAAUAUCUGCCUUCUCUGUUAAAGGUAAUCCAAAGAGAAAGGACAAAUUCCAUGGCUCUGAUGUUGCCUUCGUUGUUAGGUUUGAGUUCAUUAACAAGGCUGAAUCUAAGGUACUGCAAUCUUUGUGAAGGAGAUAUUCCUGGUGAUAUUUCUCGCUUAUCCUCUUUGAAAAAACUUGAUCUUGGUGGUAACAAUUUCGUCAGCAUACCUUCGUGUCUUACUCAAUUUUCCAAGCUUCAAUUUCUUUUUUUGUCAAAUUGCAAGGCGCUUAAAUCGUUGCCUGAGCUCCAACAUGUAUAGAGGAUGUAAGCGUAAGUGGUUGUACUUCUCUGGAAAUAAUUGCAAAUCCAUCAAAAGUUUGCAAUUCAAAGGACUGGGUAGAUAUAGUAGGUGCUAAUUGCUUCAGAUUGGCUGAGAACAUCGAUGCCUUAACAUUGCUGAAAAAGCAUCUAAAGGUUCGUUAAUAUCUCUGUUUCUCUGUCUUAUAAUUAUUCAUCUUGUCUCUUACCAAACAACCAGAGGUUUAUUUUGCAGGUAGUUGGAAAUUCAAGAAAGAAGUUUGAUAUUAUUAUACCUGGAAGUGAAAUGCCAGAAUGGUUUAGUCAACAAAGAGGUGAGUCUUCGAUUAAGAUAGAUCUGCCUCUGGAAGUUCGGAAUGAUAGUCAAUGGAUGGGAGUUGCUUUGUGCCGCAUUUUUGUCAGUGAUGAUGCUUCAAGGAAGGCGCAUGUCUCGUGUAGAGCUGUUAUCCAUGGUAGAUAUUCGAGACAAGCCAAUUGCACUCAAUCUAAUUUCCAGGGUAGAUAUCCUCGAGUAGUCGAUUGUAGUGGCUUGAUUGCAAAUUUUGGUCUAGAGCAGCCCAUAAUGAAGGACCAGAUUUUCAUUCGUUAUUUCUCUCGUGACAAGUUGUAUCCAAUUUCCUUGGAAGACAAAUGUGGUGAACGUGAAACCAAUAAUUUAUGGAAAACAGAUUGCUUAGAUCAGGAAUGCCAUCAACUUGAGCUGUCCUUCGAAAGAGAUGACAGUGUUAAGGUGAAGAAGUGUGGUGUUAGAAUAGUGUAUGAGAGAGACUUGGAAGAAACACAAGUGCUGCAUAGUAGUCAGUGUUGUGCAAAUUUUGAAGAUAUCCAGCAACACUUUGUUGAUGAUGGAUCAAUAGGUAACGGUUCCCUAAUAAAGCGAAAACGUAAUAUGUAUGAGGAGAUGGAUGAAGGGCCGCAACCGAAACGAAUGCAAAAAAAUUUCAAUUCUAUAAUGGGCAGACUUGGGAAGAAGCACUAAUUGUGGUGAACUACUUCAUUGGCCUUCUCCUAUUAAAUUUUUUUUCUAUGACUUUUUUUAAUCUAUCAUUAUUUCAUUUAAAGUAUUCACUUUCCAUAUAUUUACUCUACAAUAAAUGAGAUACAAUCUUUUAAAUAUAUAUAA